GUGCUGGCUUUGGCCGCACAUAUACUAAAAUUGGAAUAACACAUAAGCGAGGCUCCUGUCCAAGGAUGACAAGCAAAUUCAUGAAGCAGUCCAUGAUUUU
Myotis lucifugus (little brown bat) is the source of this 100-nucleotide small nuclear RNA. The record is from Ensembl. Lineage: Eukaryota; Metazoa; Chordata; Mammalia; Chiroptera; Vespertilionidae.